AGUGAACGCUGGCGGUAGGCUUAACACAUGCAAGUCGAACGGCAGCACAGUAAGAGCUUGCUCUUACGGGUGGCGAGUGGCGGACGGGUGAGGAAUACAACGGAAUCUACUUUUUCGUGGGGGAUAACGUAGGGAAACUUACGCUAAUACCGCAUACGACCUACGGGUGAAAGCAGGGGAACUUCGGACCUUGCGCGAUUGAAUGAGCCGCUGUCGGAUUUGCUAGUUGGCGGGGUAAAGGCCCACCGAGGCGACGAUCCGUUGCUCGUCUGAGAGAAUGAUAAGCGACACUAGAAGUGAGACAGGGACCAGACUACUGCGGUAGGCCGCAGUCGGGAAUGUUGGACAGUGGGCGGAAACAUUAUACAACCAUCCCGCGUCGGUUAAGGCGGCCCUGGGGUUGUAAAGACCUUUUGUUGGGAAUGAAACGCAGCCGGUUAAUACCCCGCUGUUCUGACGGUACCCAAAAAAGAAGCACCGGCUAACUUCGUG
Molecule: ribosomal RNA, 492 nt
Filed under: uncultured bacterium
Lineage: Bacteria
Description: partial 16S ribosomal RNA
Rfam family: Bacterial small subunit ribosomal RNA
Source: RNAcentral